Molecule: ribosomal RNA, 636 nt
Filed under: Nostoc sp. 9ma1
Lineage: Bacteria; Bacillati; Cyanobacteriota; Cyanophyceae; Nostocales; Nostocaceae
Description: bacterial SSU rRNA
Rfam family: Bacterial small subunit ribosomal RNA
Source: RNAcentral
GGGUGUACGGGUGAAAAUUCGUAGAUAUUCGGAGGAACACCAGUGGCGAAGGCGCUCUAACUGGACCAUUAUUGACGCUGAGGUGCAAAAGCGUGGGAAGCAAACAGGAUUAGAUACCCCUGGUAGUCCACGCCUUAAACAAUGAUACUUAGCUGUGCGGGUAUCUGACCCUUUCAGUGCCGGAGCUAACGCGUUAAGUAUCCCGCCUGGGAAGUACGCCCGCAAGUUUAAAACUCAAAGGAAUUGACGGGGGCCCGCACAAGCGGUGGAGUAUGUGGUUUAAUUCGAUGCAACGCGAAAAACCUUACCAAGGUUUGACAUGUCGCGAACCCUGAUGAAAAUUAGGGGUUCCUUCUGGAGCGCGAACACAAGUGGUGCAUGGUUGUCGUCAGCUCCUGUCGUGAGAUGAUGGGUUAAGUCCCCCCACCAGCACCACCCUCCUUCUUAGUUGCCAGCAUUAAUUUGGUCACUCCACAGAGACUGCCGGCGACGAACCGGAGGAAGGUGGGGAUGAAUUAAAUUCAGUAUGCCCCUUACUUCUUGGGUUGACACACGUACUACAAUAGCUCGGAACAGACGGUGGCCAGCUAGCCAGGGCAAGCAUAUCUAAUGAAAAUCGGACCCUCUCAGAUAUGG